RNAcentral lists this ribosomal RNA (317 nucleotides) under uncultured soil bacterium. RNAcentral's name for it is "bacterial SSU rRNA". It matches the Rfam family "Bacterial small subunit ribosomal RNA", at positions 26 to 337 of the family's 1533-position model. The record is from RNAcentral.
AGAAUCAACGCUGGCGGCGUGCCUCAGACAUGCAAGUCGAACGAUUAAAGCUCUCUUCGGAGAGUGUAUAGAGUGGCGCACGGGUGAGUAACACGUAAGUAAUCUACCUUUGAGUGGGGAAUAACAAUCGGAAACGAUUGCUAAUACCGCAUAAUGCAGCGGCACCGCAAGGUGACAGUUGUUAAAGGAGCAAUCCGCUUAAAGAGGAGCUUGCGGCAGAUUAGCUAGUUGGUAAGGUAAUGGCUUACCAAGGCUACGAUCUGUAUCCGGUCUAAGAGGACGGUCGGACACACUGACACUGAAUAACGGGUCAGACU